CCUACGGGGGGCAGCAGUGGGGAAUAUUGGACAAUGGGGGCAACCCUGAUCCAGCCAUGCCGCGUGUGUGAAGAAGGCCCUCGGGUUGUAAAGCACUUUCAGUGAGGAAGAACGCCUGGUGGUUAAUACCCAUCAGGAAAGACAUCACUCACAGAAGAAGCACCGGCUAACUCCGUGCCAGCAGCCGCGGUAAUACGGAGGGUGCGAGCGUUAAUCGGAAUUACUGGGCGUAAAGCGCGCGUAGGUGGCUUGAUAAGCCGGUUGUGAAAGUCCCGGGCUCAACCUGGGAACGGCAUCCGGAACUGUCAAGCUAGAGUGCAGGAGAGGAAGGUAGAAUUCCCGGUGUAGCGGUGAAAUGCGUAGAGAUCGGGAGGAAUACCAGUGGCGAAGGCGGCCUUCUGGACUGACACUGACACUGAGGUGCGAAAGCGUGGGUAGCAAACAGGAUUAGAUACCCCUGUAGUC
Molecule: ribosomal RNA, 465 nt
Filed under: Vreelandella stevensii
Lineage: Bacteria; Pseudomonadati; Pseudomonadota; Gammaproteobacteria; Oceanospirillales; Halomonadaceae
Description: partial 16S ribosomal RNA
Rfam family: Bacterial small subunit ribosomal RNA
Source: RNAcentral